RNAcentral lists this long non-coding RNA (502 nucleotides) under Brachypodium distachyon (stiff brome). Its description in RNAcentral is "long non-coding RNA (BDIS_LNC004140)". The record is from RNAcentral. Lineage: Eukaryota; Viridiplantae; Streptophyta; Magnoliopsida; Poales; Poaceae.
UACCUAGUGAUACGACUUUUAGGUGAUACCAUCCAAACAGUGGUGUGAAUAGUCAUAAAAAUUAUUCACCAAUCUUCGAAAAGAGUGGAUUCACCAAAUAGGGAAAGAUACGGUAACAUAACCAGUGAGAUAAAAUUCGUCAUGUCUUGGUCUGCCUAUUUUAUUUGUCACGACAUUAAGAGGGCUUGAUUUUUAAUUUAUGUUUGGUUGAGGGCCAUAUGUGUGUUUUUGUAUGUUCUAUCUAUAGCUGGCCAUUGGGCCAGGGCUUUCCGAGUGGCUAGGAAGCCCGAUUGUCCAGUCCCGACUCGAGCUGGCGCCGGCACAGUGCAAAUCGGCCCGGCCUAUGGCGUGCUAGAAUCUCCACCUUGAGCCCGCAGCCCUUUUUUUAUUUUUUUCUACAUUUGGCCCAGCGUUUCUCCAAAUUUUGGACCAAACCAACUCGUUUUCUACGUUUGCCCCAUCAUCUUUCCAAGUUUAAGCCAACCAUUAAAUUUUUUGUACA